UCAUACAGCGAGGUAGGCAAGAAGGGCCAAAGCAGUCGCACUUAGCUGAGCGGCUCUAACUACAUCCCCUCUGCGUUUGCGUCCGCUGCCCCAAAUCCUUCUUAACGAGAGGCUAUUCGGCAAAUACCGCUUUGGCCUCGACCUCACGGCCUUGACAUGAAGCACUUCGUCAUCUAUUAACUUCUGACCGCGAGAAACCGUUGGUCGUUGCCGGCACACAUCGAGUGAUUUCCGGUCCCCACCGGUCGUACGCAGUGAUGCACAAGGUCUCUCAAUCAUCUCUCCCCCUGGCUUUUAAUUGUCUUUUGAGAGAGGAUCACGGCCCUGUAGAUGGCGGCCCCCCUCACGCUGGGCGC
RNAcentral lists this long non-coding RNA (356 nucleotides) under Volvox carteri. RNAcentral's name for it is "long non-coding RNA (VCAR_LNC002580)". The record is from RNAcentral. Lineage: Eukaryota; Viridiplantae; Chlorophyta; Chlorophyceae; Chlamydomonadales; Volvocaceae.